RNAcentral lists this ribosomal RNA (252 nucleotides) under uncultured bacterium. RNAcentral's name for it is "partial 16S ribosomal RNA". It matches the Rfam family "Bacterial small subunit ribosomal RNA", at positions 524 to 775 of the family's 1533-position model. The record is from RNAcentral.
UACGAAGGGGGCUAGCGUUGCUCGGAAUCACUGGGCGUAAAGCGCACGUAGGCGGAUCUUUAAGUCAGGGGUGAAAUCCUGGAGCUCAACUCCAGAACUGCCUUUGAUACUGGGGAUCUCGAGUCCGGGAGAGGUGAGUGGAACUGCGAGUGUAGAGGUGAAAUUCGUAGAUAUUCGCAAGAACACCAGUGGCGAAGGCGGCUCACUGGCCCGGUACUGACGCUGAGGUGCGAAAGCGUGGGGAGCAAACAG